CGUCAAGUCCUCAUGGCCCUUAUGGGUAGGGCUACACACGUCAUACAAUGGCGCGUACAGAGGGUUGCCAACCCGCGAGGGGGAGCCAAUCCCAGAAAGCGCGUCGUAGUCCGGAUUGGAGUCUGCAACUCGACUCCAUGAAGUCGGAAUCGCUAGUAAUCGCGGAUCAGCAUGUCGCGGUGAAUACGUUCCCGGGCCUU
RNAcentral lists this ribosomal RNA (200 nucleotides) under uncultured organism. RNAcentral's name for it is "partial small subunit ribosomal RNA". It matches the Rfam family "Bacterial small subunit ribosomal RNA", at positions 1183 to 1382 of the family's 1533-position model. The record is from RNAcentral.